AACGCACAUUGCGCCCCCUGGUAUUCCGGGGGGCAUGCCUGUCCGAGCGUCAUUGCUGCCCUCAAGCACGGCUUGUGUGUUGGGCCCCGCCCCCCGGCUCCGGGGGGCGGGCCCGAAAGGCAGCGGCGGCACCGCGUCCGGUCCUCGAGCGUAUGGGGCUUCGUCACCCGCUCCGUAGGCCCGGCCGGCGCCCGCCGGCGACCCCCCUCAAUCUUUCUCAGGUUGACCUCGGAUCAGGUAGGGAUACCCGCUGAACUUAA
This 260-nucleotide unclassified non-coding RNA is filed under the name uncultured fungus. RNAcentral's name for it is "partial contains 5.8S ribosomal RNA, internal transcribed spacer 2, and large subunit ribosomal RNA". The stretch from base 1 to 52 matches the Rfam family "5.8S ribosomal RNA", at positions 103 to 154 of the family's 154-position model. Lineage: Eukaryota; Fungi. The record is from RNAcentral.